This 497-nucleotide ribosomal RNA is filed under the name uncultured bacterium. RNAcentral's name for it is "partial 16S ribosomal RNA". It matches the Rfam family "Bacterial small subunit ribosomal RNA", at positions 28 to 507 of the family's 1533-position model. The record is from RNAcentral.
GACGAACGCUGGCGGCGUGCCUAAUACAUGCAAGUAGAACGCUGAAGAGAGGAGCUUACUCUUCUUGGAUGAGUUGCGAACGGGUGAGUAACGCGUAGGUAACCUGCCUUGUAGCGGGGGAUAACUAUUGGAAACGAUAGCUAAUACCGCAUAACAAUGGAUGACACAUGUCAUUUAUUUGAAAGGGGCAAUUGCUCCACUACAAGAUGGACCUGCGUUGUAUUAGCUAGUAGGUGAGGUAAUGGCUCACCUAGGCGACGAUACAUAGCCGACCUGAGAGGGUGAUCGGCCACACUGGGACUGUGACACGGCCCAGACUCCUUCGGGAGGCAGCAGUAGGGAAUCUUCGGCAAUGGGGGCAACCCUGACCGAGCAACGCCGCGUGAGUGAAGAAGGUUUUCGGAUCGUAAAGCUCUGUUGUAAGUCAAGAACGGGUGUGAGAGUGGAAAGUUCACACUGUGACGGUAGCUUACCAGAAAGGGACGGCUAACUACGUG